AUGCUACGAUCUAGAUCUCUCUAGAGAAAGAACAAGAAAGCUCUAUCUGGUCAUUAGCUUAAGUAUAUUGUUUAAUCUUGUGCUGUGAGUAUGAGUGUCCCGCUGUCUGCUGCUGUUACUCUAGGACUGCUGUUCUUCCUGUCUGUGGGACUGAACGAGCAGGUGGCCGAGGGCUGUAAAUGUCUUCAAAGACACCCUCAACAGGUGUUCUGCGAGUCUGAUAUUGUGAUUCGUGUGAAGGUCAUUGGAAAUGUGGCCAGCGCUCGCCCCGACUUGGUUGCAUACAGUGUCAAAGUUAUUACGAAGUACAAGCCUUCCAAUAAAAAGGCAAUUUGGGUCAUCUACACAGAUAAAACUUCAUGUGGCGGUUAUCUGGAAAACGGCGAGUAUCUGCUGUCAGGACAUGUUGUGGAUGGAGUGAUGGUUUUUGGUUUAUGUGACCUUGUGUGGCGUUGGGACCAACUCUCCUCCGUUCAAAAGAGGAACCUCAACAUGUAUCAGACUGCCUGUAUCUGUGAGAUUACAUCCUGUACUGGAGCGUCCUGUUUGACCAAGAAUCUUCAAAGAAAGUGUCUGGUAGGAGUCAAGAACUCCAUCGGUCUUGGUUAUGAAGAGGCUCUUCGGGCUGUUUGCCUGCCAGGCAGACACGGCUCCUGCAGAUGGCAAAAGUGAUUUAAAAGUGACCACAAAUGCUCCUAAAAAUGAUGCCCUGAAGACCAAGUGCAACAGCCAUUUGGACAUUUGGUUCUUCAGAAUCCUUAGAACAUUCUUGAAUUUAAACUCUACUGCUUUGCAAUGCAGUUUUCAUGGAGAUGCUAUUAAACCAUUAAACUGUCUUGGAUGUAAAA
Carassius carassius (crucian carp) is the source of this 848-nucleotide RNA transcript. It is a transcript of the gene named metalloproteinase inhibitor 3-like, with no coding region annotated. The record is from RefSeq and is a predicted model, not a curated record. NCBI's taxonomy places the organism in Eukaryota, Metazoa, Chordata, Actinopteri, Cypriniformes, Cyprinidae. The transcript has 6 exons.